This 2488-nucleotide long non-coding RNA is filed under the name Mus musculus (house mouse). Its description in RNAcentral is "RIKEN cDNA 6430562O15 gene". Lineage: Eukaryota; Metazoa; Chordata; Mammalia; Rodentia; Muridae. The record is from RNAcentral.
GUAGUGUAGAGAAAUGGCUGGUCACUUGCCACCCUGAGUGGGAAUCAGGCUGCUGUUGAGAAGCCGCUGGGGUGCCGUGCUGCCCCAGGGAACGGAACCGUGACAUCAGCUCAAGCAUGAAGUCGUAACAAUGCCACUGCUUUCCCAAAAGGCCACGGUCUGUGGGAAGGAACACAACUGCAAUUCUUGAUGCGAGUUUUUCAUGCCUUUGUGUGUGACUGAUGCAGGAAAAGGCUCAGUUUCUACUACGAAUCACCUGAAAGCGCUCGAGGUAUCGGGGAAGCUUGGACUGUUCUGGUUCCUCAGUGUCUAGCUGCUCCACCAGGUUUGCUGAGCCCAAGCCAUCUUCACCUUCCUGAGGCUGUGCCUCUGAAGUCUGGACAUCUGGAGACGUCACCACCUUCAGGACUCCAUCCAGCACAUCGAGCUGUAGGGCACAGGAGAGUCAGGAGGACAUCUGUUAUAGACUUGACUGUGUGCAGGCCAACUUCAAAGUGUGUGUUCCUUGGUUAUAAUGACUGAGAAAGAGCAUUAAUGAUAUCAGCAUAAUGUGCCAUGGGAGACACUGGGUUGAGGACCUCAGGACAGAAAUGAAAGCUGAGUGGUGAGCCUUGGCAUUUCAGAGUCAAGGCCACACAGAAGAGCAUCUCCAAGGGUGUAGGCUAGGCAGCUAGCCAGCUCCCAGGGCUUCAUGUCUCUCUGCUCCCUCCCUGCCAUUACCGGACGAUAACUGCACUCCUGGGCCUGGCUUUUUAAGUGGUUCUGGGGAUCUGAACUCAGCUAGAUUCCAUCAUUCUAGUUCCUCUUGUAUGGCCCAUGGAAUCCUCUAGAGUGAGGUUUACCAGAGAGAAGGGAGAGCGCCUUGAUUUCUGCAAGCAAACUGGCAGGUUAUAGCCAGCCACUACACGAUGUCCCCCUGCACCUGGUGCCACAGCUGAGGCCACAUCUCAACAGAUGUCACUACCACUGAAGCAGCGGGCUGCCAGGACCGGCAAACUGCGCAAAUAUAGAAAAGAUGGACAACGCCGCUCAAAUAACCCUGGCCCUGCUGUGCGCAGGGCAGUGGAAGGCAGCCUGCAGCUCAGCCUCUGUGGCUGUGCACUUCUUGGAGGAAGGAGGAACACAGGAGGGGAUGGAAGGAGCAUGCGCAGUCCAGCUCUCACUCUGACUCUAUGGUUAGCACCCACGCAGAAGAGAUCGCUGUCCCCAGUGCUAACUGGGGCUGUCAGAGCUUUCUAGAAGCCCAACCACGGGUAAGCCAACAGCAGGAGCUGAGACUCGUCCUCUCGGCCCAGCAGGUCUAAGCAGUAUGGAACUGCCCAGCAGUAUGGAACUGCUCAGCAGUAUGGAACUGCCCAGCAGUAUGGAACUGCCCAGCAGUAUGGAACUGCCCAGCAGUAUGGAACUGCCCAGCAGUAUGGAACUGCCCAGCAGUAUGGAACUGCCCAGCAGUAUGGAACUGCUCAGUCACCUGGUUUACUGCUCACCCAAGGCUACAGCACCAAGAGGCAGAGAGCAGAAUCACGGCUUGUCAGUCAGACAGGGGUCCAAAAGCCUAGGUCACCUUUGAUUUCUUAGAAGGUAAGGGAAGUCACUUAGAAGAGAUCAUCAAAAGGGAAAGGAAAAGGAAAAGGAGAAGGAGGAGGAGGAGGAGGAGGAGGAGGAAAAGGAAAAAGAAAAAGACCAGAGUGCGACUUUAUAGUUAUUUAUGACCAACUGAAUCAUUUAAUCAAAAACAACAAAACAGUGGGCUCUGGCUGUCCUUCCACAGGCAUCAAAUGACUCAUUAUCUUACAAUGGCAAAGCGGCCACCCUCACCAGUCUUUAGGAUCAACUACAAAUGCUGCAGGCCUAAAGCACGGUGCCGGGGCCCACAGCCCUGCAGCAGCUAACACUUAGCUACAGCACAGGCUCUGCACACGGAUGAGCAGGCUUUCCACAUGGUUUCCCUGAUUCUAUGAGCCACCAGCCAAGCCUAGGCAUACACACACUUGCCAGUUCCCAGUAGGUUCUGUAUUCUGUGGCAACAGGCAUUCCAGAUGGGACUCUCGGCCUCUAAGUGAGGCAGACGUGGAGGAGGGGCAGUAGAGAAGGCUGCCAAGGAGAAGAUUCGGCCAGUUCCAUGGACUGUGGUGUGGAGUGUGAAUCAAUUCAUAAUGCCAAGCUUGCAGUUAUCAAAAGGAUCAAGCACUUCCACUAAAAGCUAGUGUGUGACUGACCCACUGAUUCAGUUGUCACUGCCCUCUUUCUUAUCCUAAAAAGGCAAUUAGAAAGAUAAUUACUUUCUUUUCUAUCCUGCAGGAAAUUCUGCUUUCAGAAUUGUUAAUUUCAGAAUUCACAAUCUUCGAUGAUUCUUUCAGUUAUCACAAAUACAAAAUGGAAAUAUCACUACUACAGAUUAAAAUUCCUUUGUUGCUUGAGAUCCCACAUUUUAUGCUUAUGGAAGUUUCAGUUAAUUUAACUUUCAAUAAACAUAUGGUGAAGCUCU